GUAGCCGACCUGAGAGGGUGAUCGGCCACACUGGGACUGAGACACGGCCCAGACUCCUACGGGAGGCAGCAGUAGGGAAUCUUCCGCAAUGGACGAAAGUCUGACGGAGCAACGCCGCGUGAGUGAUGAAGGUUUUCGGAUCGUAAAGCUCUGUUGUUAGGGAAGAACAAGUGCAAGAGUAACUGCUUGCACCUUGACGGUACCUAACCAGAAAGCCACGGCUAACUACGUGCCAGCAGCCGCGGUAAUACGUAGGUGGCNAGCGUUGUCCGGAAUUAUUGGGCGUAAAGGGCUCGCAGGCGGUUUCUUAAGUCUGAUGUGAAAGCCCCCGGCUCAACCGGGGAGGGUCAUUGGAAACUGGGAAACUUGAGUGCAGAAGAGGAGAGUGGAAUUCCACGUGUAGCGGUGAAAUGCGUAGAGAUGUGGAGGAACACCAGUGGCGAAGGCGACUCUCUGGUCUGUAACUGACGCUGAGGAGCGAAAGCGUGGGGAGCGAACAGGAUUAGAUACCCUGGUAGUCCACGCCGUAAACGAUGAGUGCUAAGUGUUAGGGGGUUUCCGCCCCUUAGUGCUGCAGCUAACGCAUUAAGCACUCCGCCUGGGGAGUACGGUCGCAAGACUGAAACUCAAAGGAAUUGACGGGGGCCCGCACAAGCGGUGGAGCAUGUGGUUUAAUUNGAAGCAACGCGAAGAACCUUACCAGGUCUUGACAUCCUCUGACAACCCUAGAGAUAGGGCUUUCCCUUCGGGGACAGAGUGAC
This 761-nucleotide ribosomal RNA is filed under the name Bacillus aerius. RNAcentral describes it as "bacterial SSU rRNA". It matches the Rfam family "Bacterial small subunit ribosomal RNA", at positions 283 to 1035 of the family's 1533-position model. The record is from RNAcentral. Lineage: Bacteria; Bacillati; Bacillota; Bacilli; Caryophanales; Bacillaceae.